This 542-nucleotide ribosomal RNA is filed under the name uncultured bacterium. RNAcentral's name for it is "bacterial SSU rRNA". It matches the Rfam family "Bacterial small subunit ribosomal RNA", at positions 99 to 673 of the family's 1533-position model. The record is from RNAcentral.
CGUACGGGUGAGUAACACGUGACUAACCUACCCUCGAGUGGGGAAUAACUUCGGGAAACCGAGGCUAAUACCGCAUAACAUCUACGGAUCAAAUGCGCAAGCAGCUUGAGGAGGGGGUCGCGGCUGAUUAGCUAGUUGGCGGGGUAACGGCCCACCAAGGCAAUGAUCAGUAGCCGGCCUGAGAGGGCGCACGGCCACACUGGAACUGAAACACGGUCCAGACUCCUACGGGAGGCAGCAGUGGGGAAUUUUGCGCAAUGGGGGAAACCCUGACGCAGCAACGCCGCGUGGAGGAUGAAGCCCCUUGGGGUGUAAACUCCUUUCGAUCGGGACGAUUAUGACGGUACCGGAUGAAGAAGCACCGGCUAACUCUGUGCCAGCAGCCGCGGUAAUACAGAGGGUGCAAGCGUUGUUCGGAAUUAUUGGGCGUAAAGGGUGCGUACGCGGUGCGGUAAGUCUUCUGUGAAACCUCCGGGCUUAACUCGGAGCCUGCAGGGGAAACUGCCGUGCUGGAGUAUGGGAGAGGUGAGUGGAAUUCCCGG